GAUGGCUGCAGUGAGUUGAUGUUGUAAUUCAUAGAAACAAGAUGGCUGCCGUGAGGUGAUGGCGUAAUUCAUAUAAACAAGAUGGCUGCCAUGAAACGAUGUCGUAAUAUAAAAGCAAUAUGGCCGCAGGGAGGGGCGGGGACAAAAAAGAUGGCUGCCAUGAGGUGACAUUGUAUUUCACAGAAACAAGAUGGCCGCCGUGAGGUGAUGGUGUAAUUCAUAUAAACAAGAUGGCUGCCGUGAGGUAAUGUCAUAAUAUAGAAACAAGAUGGCUGCCCUGAGGUGAUGUCGUAAUAUAGAAGCAAGAUGGCCGCUGGGAGGGGCAGGGACGGAAAAACAAGAUGGCUGCCAUGAGGUGAUGGCGUAAUUCAUAGAAACAAGAUGGCUGCAGUGAGGCAAUGUCACAAUUCAUAGAAACAAGAUGGCUGCCCUGAGGUAAUGUCAUAACAUAGAAACAAGAUGGCCGCUGUGAGGUGAUGUUGCAAUUCAUAUAAACAAGAUGGCUGCCGUGAGGUGAUAUCGUAAUUCAUAGAAACAAGAUGGCUGCCGUGAGGUGAUGGUGUAAUAUAGAAGCAAGAUGGCUGCCAGGAGGGGCGGGGGUGCGGCGGGGGAAAAACAAGAUGGCUGCCGUGAGGUGAU
Long non-coding RNA from Oenanthe melanoleuca, 639 nucleotides. RefSeq lists it as uncharacterized. The record is from RefSeq and is a predicted model, not a curated record. Lineage: Eukaryota; Metazoa; Chordata; Aves; Passeriformes; Muscicapidae. The transcript is spliced from 3 exons.